UUAUCCAAUGGUUCUGGAAUAUGCCUUUUCU
RNAcentral lists this non-coding RNA (31 nucleotides) under Rattus norvegicus (Norway rat). The record is from RNAcentral. Lineage: Eukaryota; Metazoa; Chordata; Mammalia; Rodentia; Muridae.